Molecule: ribosomal RNA, 311 nt
Filed under: Acidovorax sp. 2(2010)
Lineage: Bacteria; Pseudomonadati; Pseudomonadota; Betaproteobacteria; Burkholderiales; Comamonadaceae
Also listed under: 1 other name
Description: bacterial SSU rRNA
Rfam family: Bacterial small subunit ribosomal RNA
Source: RNAcentral
ACCGCAAGGCCUUGCGCGAACGGAGCGGCCGAUGGCAGAUUAGGUAGUUGGUGGGAUAAAAGCUUACCAAGCCGACGAUCUGUAGCUGGUCUGAGAGGACGACCAGCCACACUGGGACUGAGACACGGCCCAGACUCCUACGGGAGGCAGCAGUGGGGAAUUUUGGACAAUGGGCGAAAGCCUGAUCCAGCCAUGCCGCGUGCAGGAUGAAGGCCUUCGGGUUGUAAACUGCUUUUGUACGGAACGAAAAGACUCUGGUUAAUACCUGGGGUCCAUGACGGUACCGUAAGAAUAAGCACCGGCUAACUACG